Zootoca vivipara (common lizard) is the source of this 69-nucleotide non-coding RNA. The record is from the annotation of a RefSeq genome assembly. NCBI's taxonomy places the organism in Eukaryota, Metazoa, Chordata, Lepidosauria, Squamata, Lacertidae.
GGGUAGCUCAGUUGGUAAAGCAUGAGACUGUUAAUCUCAAGGUUGUGGGUUUGAGUCCCACCAUGGGUG